Molecule: long non-coding RNA, 1119 nt
Organism: Cannabis sativa
Lineage: Eukaryota; Viridiplantae; Streptophyta; Magnoliopsida; Rosales; Cannabaceae
Exons: 3
Source: RefSeq, a predicted model, not a curated record
CUCAAAUCAAUGGUUUCUGUAGCAACUAGAACUAAUGAAGACAAUUUUUCUUUCGUGGCUCCUAUUGUGAAUAGUUCUUGUGGAUUACUUGUUUUGCAUAUUUACUUGUUUAAAGGGAGGGAAUAAGAAGGGUAUAUAGUCACAUUAGUUACAUGCAUGGUUUUAAAAAAAUUACAAAAAACAUAACGGGUUCGUCAAAUUUCAUGUAGAGCACAUUAAUUACUACUACUGAUUCUCUUUAUUCUAGUAGACUACAAUGCAUUUUGUAUGUAUCUAAAUCAAAUUGGUUGUUUCAGAAUAAGACAAUGCAAAUGAUGUAUGAGACAAUUUACAAGGCACUUGUUGAAGCUGGGCUCGAAGGUGCUUAAUUACUCACCCAAGGAUUAUUUAAACUUCUUCUGUCUUGGCAACCGUGAGGACUUGGAUGGAAAUAACAGUGGCAUGGAAAGUCCUACUGCAGCAAACAGUCCUCAGGCACUGAGUAGGAAAAAUCGAAGAUUUAUGAUUUAUGUUCACUCAAAAGGCAUGAUAGUUAAUGACGAGUAUGUAAUCAUUGGAUCUGCCAACAUCAAUCAACCCUCUAUGAAAGGCACUAGAGACACUGAAAUCGCAAUGGGAGUUUACCAGCCCCAUCAUACCUAGGCACGGAAAUUUCGCAAUCCUCUUGGACAGAUAUACGGUUAUAGGAUGUCAUUGUGGACAGAGCAUAUGGGAACUAUCGACGAUUGCUUCACACAACCAGAGUGCAUUGAUUGUGUGAAAAAAGUAAGAUCAAUGGGGGAGAUGAACUGGAAACAGUUUGCUGCAGAUGAGGUAACAGAGAUGAGAGGACAUCUUCUCAAGUACCCAGUUGAAGUUGAUCGAAAAGGCAAGGUGAGGUCCCUUCUUGGACAUGAAAAUUUCCCAGAUGCAGGAGGAAAUAUAGUCGGCUCAUUUGUUGCUAUUCAGGAAAAUCUCACCAUAUGAUUCUGCUAUUUUUUACUGGCCAACUCAAACAAUGAGAAAUGGAUAUUCAAACACAAAUUAUAGUGCUAAAUUGUUUUGUUUUGCGUCAGAAAAUUAUAGUGGUGUGUAUGGUCUUUUGCUAACUCGUGUAACAUAGCAUAGAGUUUACUUGCA